Molecule: long non-coding RNA, 651 nt
Organism: Thunnus maccoyii (southern bluefin tuna)
Lineage: Eukaryota; Metazoa; Chordata; Actinopteri; Scombriformes; Scombridae
Exons: 3
Source: RefSeq, a predicted model, not a curated record
AUGUCAUCACCUGACAAGACAGAGCAAUCAGCGCUCCAGCGUGAGACACAACAGGCAGCGAGAAUACCAGCCUCCUAUCACAGCGUUCUCUCACCGUUCCUGCACUGCUCAGGGAGAGGUGACUCAUCUGCUGUGCGAGCGGGGCCAUCAUGGAUGUAGGCUGCAGUGACAAAGACGGGUCCAUAGAGGGCGAUAUCACUGUACCCUGGAAGAAAAGUGUGAGCAGAAGGUGGAAUAGUCACAAGUUGUCUAUAAGCAUCUUGGCUGGCCUGAUGCAUCUAGCAGUGUUUUCUCGUCUAUGCUGGCUCAUUUUCAGAGCAAGAGAGAGGACACUUCUCUCUCAAUUCAAACCCAUCUGUUAUAAUCUGUUCGGCAUCUGUCAUCAAAUACACAGCUUUACAUAGCCUCUCCGAAGCAGUCGUUUUAAAAUUCCUAAACACUUGUGAAUCCUCAAGGAUCAGUGUCACCUUAUGUGUUAACUAAUACUCUUACAUAUUGUGCUUGUCUGUUUACAGAAAAAUGUUUAAAUUCUGUUACAACCACAGAGGGAACUGUUUUGAUGAAAUAUUUGAUGAAAAAUUUUGAUGAAAAAAAAGUGAAAGAGCAUGUGACAAUGAAGACAGUGAUUAAGAGAAAAUGAAGAGAUUAUGG